GAUGAACGCUAGCGACAGGCUUAACACAUGCAAGUCGAGGGGCAGCGGGGGUAGCAAUACCCGCCGGCGACCGGCGCACGGGUGAGUAACGCGUAUGCAACUUACCUAUCAGAGGGGGAUAACCCGGCGAAAGUCGGACUAAUACCGCAUGAAGCAGGGAUCCCGCAUGGGAAUAUUUGCUAAAGAUUCAUCGCUGAUAGAUAGGCAUGCGUUCCAUUAGGCAGUUGGCGGGGUAACGGCCCACCAAACCGACGAUGGAUAGGGGUUCUGAGAGGAAGGUCCCCCACAUUGGUACUGAGACACGGACCAAACUCCUACGGGAGGCAGCAGUGAGGAAUAUUGGUCAAUGGCCGAGAGGCUGAACCAGCCAAGUCGCGUGAGGGAUGAAGGUUCUAUGGAUCGUAAACCUCUUUUAUAAGGGAAUAAAGUGCGGGACGUGUCCCGUUUUGUAUGUACCUUAUGAAUAAGGAUCGGCUAACUCCGUGCCAGCAGCCGCGGUAAUACGGAGGAUCCGAGCGUUAUCCGGAUUUAUUGGGUUUAAAGGGUGCGUAGGCGGCCUUUUAAGUCAGCGGUGAAAGUCUGUGGCUCAACCAUAGAAUUGCCGUUGAAACUGGGGGGCUUGAGUAUGUUUGAGGCAGGCGGAAUGCGUGGUGUAGCGGUGAAAUGCAUAGAUAUCACGCAGAACCCCGAUUGCGAAGGCAGCCUGCCAAGCCAUGACUGACGCUGAUGCACGAAAGCGUGGGGAUCAAACAGGAUUAGAUACCCUGGUAGUCCACGCAGUAAACGAUGAUCACUAGCUGUUUGCGAUACACUGUAAGCGGCACAGCGAAAGCGUUAAGUGAUCCACCUGGGGAGUACGCCGGCAACGGUGAAACUCAAAGGAAUUGACGGGGGCCCGCACAAGCGGAGGAACAUGUGGUUUAAUUCGAUGAUACGCGAGGAACCUUACCCGGGUUUGAACGCAUUCGGACCGAGGUGGAAACACCUUUUCUAGCAAUAGCCGUUUGCGAGGUGCUGCAUGGUUGUCGUCAGCUCGUGCCGUGAGGUGUCGGCUUAAGUGCCAUAACGAGCGCAACCCUUGCCACUAGUUACUAACAGGUAAAGCUGAGGACUCUGGUGGGACUGCCAGCGUAAGCUGCGAGGAAGGCGGGGAUGACGUCAAAUCAGCACGGCCCUUACAUCCGGGGCGACACACGUGUUACAAUGGCGUGGACAAAGGGAAGCCACCUGGCGACAGGGAGCGAAUCCCCAAACCACGUCUCAGUUCGGAUCGGAGUCUGCAACCCGACUCCGUGAAGCUGGAUUCGCUAGUAAUCGCGCAUCAGCCAUGGCGCGGUGAAAUACGUUCCCGGGCCU
Molecule: ribosomal RNA, 1356 nt
Filed under: uncultured bacterium
Lineage: Bacteria
Description: bacterial SSU rRNA
Rfam family: Bacterial small subunit ribosomal RNA
Source: RNAcentral